AGAGCCUCACGAAUAACUGGAUGCUGGAAAACAAUAGACCACAUCCGGCUCAGACAGGGGCUCACAGCGACACGAAUCCUUUUGAGUGAAAGGAAUCCAUCUUGUCUUUGCUAUUCCUUUCUUAGAUGGCUUUGGAUAUCC
Elaeis guineensis (African oil palm) is the source of this 141-nucleotide small nucleolar RNA. RefSeq annotates it as small nucleolar RNA snoR138. The record is from RefSeq and is a predicted model, not a curated record. NCBI's taxonomy places the organism in Eukaryota, Viridiplantae, Streptophyta, Magnoliopsida, Arecales, Arecaceae.